CCUGCUCAAUGAAAUUUAAAUAGCCGCUUUUGUGCUAAGGUAGCAUAAUAAUUUGUCUUUUAAUUAAAGACUAGAACAAAAGGUUUAACAUCUCAAUUAAUGUUUAGUAAAAAACUAUUUAAAUUAUUUUAAUUGUAAAAAAACAAUUUUAAAAAAGAAAGACGAUAAGACCCUAUCGAACUUUACUUUAGUUUAACUGGGGCAGUUAAUUAAUUAUUAUUUUAACUUAGAUAAAUACCCAAUUUGACCUAAUAUUAUUAAUAAAAUAACUAAGUUACCGUAGGGAUAACAGCGUAAUAAAAUUUUUAAGAUCUUAUUUAAAAUAAAGAUUGCGACCUCGAUGUUGAUUUAAUAUCCUAAUUUACGCAAUAGUUAAUUAAGGAAGUCUGUUCGACUUUUAAAAAAUUACAUGAUUUGAGUUCAGACCGGUGUAAACCAGGUCGGUUUCUAUCUUCUAAAAAAAUUCUUCUAGUACGAAAGGACCUAAGAAAAUAAUAAUAUU
Molecule: ribosomal RNA, 502 nt
Filed under: Pardosa astrigera
Lineage: Eukaryota; Metazoa; Arthropoda; Arachnida; Araneae; Lycosidae
Description: partial 16S ribosomal RNA
Rfam family: Bacterial large subunit ribosomal RNA
Source: RNAcentral